ACGAUACAGUUUUGAACCUGUAUUUACAAGUUGAUGAAAAUUUGCAUAUAGGCUAUUUUUUACCUGAUUAAAUCAAAUAUGUAAUAAAAAAUAUACCUUCAUGUGCUACUUUUUGAGUAAAAUAAGGUCGAAAUUUUGUAUAUUUGCUCAAAAUUCAGAUUUGUGUCCGUAUUUUCUUUUUCGAAAGAAAGACAUAACUUUU
RNAcentral lists this long non-coding RNA (202 nucleotides) under Mytilus galloprovincialis (Mediterranean mussel). Lineage: Eukaryota; Metazoa; Mollusca; Bivalvia; Mytilida; Mytilidae. The record is from RNAcentral.